This is a non-coding RNA of Cricetulus griseus (Chinese hamster), 1796 nucleotides long. NCBI's taxonomy places the organism in Eukaryota, Metazoa, Chordata, Mammalia, Rodentia, Cricetidae. The record is from RefSeq and is a predicted model, not a curated record.
AUGCUGUCACCGCCGUUAACAGCACGUGGAGGUUUGUUAAAGGUACAGGGACCGCUGCAGCCAGGCGGGGGCGGGGCGAAGUCCCGGGAGCUGGAGAGGAGUGGUCUGCUUUAAGUGGCCGGACUACUGAAGAAGAGCCUCCUGGAAGUGGAGGUAGUGGGAGGCAUAGUUCUUAGUCAAUACCAGCAAUAGCCAGCCGAGAAUAUGGGGGAACAGGUGCCUGCAAGAUGAUUCCAGGCGGUGGAUGGAGCGCUGAGAAGGGGUGUGGUGGGAGAUGACUGUAGUCCUGUUGUCUGCCAGCCUCUGAAAUGGGAGCCACAAGAACCAUCUAGACAAGCACCUAGAACUGUGCCAGAUCAGGCAGAAGACCAGGAUGUAAAGCUGUCUGCUACUACUCCAGUGACUUGCCUGUCUCCUUCCUGCUAUGACGAUCAUGAACGUUACCCUCUCAAAGUCUAUGUGGGGGUUGACUGGCUCUGGGGAAAAGUGUUGUUGGCUAGUAUAGGUGGCUGGCGACAAAGGGCAGAGUGCAAGGGGGCGGCCAGCGCAGAAGUCUCGGCACUCAUCAGAACUGCGGUCCUGGCUGGUCUGAGGAUCAGAACUACCUGGCCUAAGACCUGAAGAGACCCAAAGGCUGAAGCCAUUUCCUGGCCACUCCAUAUGACAGUGACUCCAACUCCAUCAUAUCUGGUGAUCAUCUGCCUCAAAACCAAGCAAAGGGCCCCAAAAGAUUUCUGAUGGAAAUGUGAAACCCCUCUGCCCUGGGGCCCUCAGGAAAGCUGCUCAUGAAAACACCUUAUGGAGAGCACACCUUAAGAGACAGACCUGCAAAUGCAUUUGAGAAACAAAGACCUGAGCUCUGGCUGUGGAGGGAGAAGGAGAUGAGCCAUGCAGGAAUUUUCAUGACAAAAGCCACCAACAACACUUAUUUGGUCCACCCAGUGAGUAAAAUUUCCUUGUUUUCAUUUGUAUUUUUUUGAGACAAGGUCAGCUACAUAGCCCAGGCUAGUCUGCAACUAAGUAGCCUAGGGUGGACUCAAACUCUCAAUCUUUUGGCCUCAGCCUUGCACCACACCCAGCCUGGGUUCUGGGUUUAGAGCAAGCUGGAAAUGAGCUCACAAAUCCUUUAACCCACACAAAAGGACAGUCCAGACACACCACCAACUAAACAUACAAGGAAGUGGAUGACCUUCUCCAAAGAGAUUACUCCAAGUUCACAGCUCACACGGAUUAAAAUGAGGCCACCUGUAAUCCUAUCAACUCAGAUGUAUUUUUGAAUGCUCUAUACAACCUUCACAGCAAUGUCUCUCUGCCUUUCACUCCGUGGUCCUUACCCACCUGACCCAAAAUAAUGAGUAGUAUUUUCAGUGUCUGGAAGCAGAGUUUCCGAGUGCAGAUGAAACAUAGAUGGAAUAAAGGUAAUUUAGGGGGAACGGUCCAUUUCUACCAUGGGAAUGGACGGGAGAGGUCAGGGUCUAGAAAACUGCUGAGCCCAUGUCAACGCCAGAGCCUACUGGCUGGCUGCAAGAAGCUUUAAACGUUGUUACAAGGGCCAAGAUUGGGCAAUACUUGCUUAAAGUAAGCUUGGGGAUUGCCACAUACCUAUGGCCAAGGACUUGUCACUGCUUAGUACAAGGGAGUAUAACUUCUCCAAAACACUUAACCAGAAGAACUAAGAUGUUCAAGACCCUAAUACGAACUUCCCUACCUGCUGGAAAGGCUUGGGCUUUUUAUUCAAACAUCUAUCAUAAUCUCUACUGCUGUUCUCCUCUUUGACAGGCUUCCACAGGCCCAAA